CAUGAGUUGAAUGAGUGAUGACUGUGAGUGCAUGCAUGUAUGAGUUGAAUGAGUGAUGACUGUGUGAGUGCAUGCAUGUAUGAGUUGAAUGAGUGAUGACUGUGUGAGGGCAUGCAUGUAUGAGUUGAAUGAGUGAUGACUGUGUGAGGGCAUGCAUGUAUGAGUUGAAUGAGUGAUGACUGUGUGAGGGCAUGCAUGUAUGAGUUGAAUGAGUGAUGAUGGUGUGAGUGCAUGCAUGUAUGAGUGCAUGAGUCGAAUGAGUGAACUUACUUGGAGAAGAGCCUUCACGUGUCCAUCCGAAAGAGACAGCAAAGGAACCCAGAUUCUUGCCGAAACUGUCAAUGGCAAUCAACGCAAGCUACAGUCAGGCCUUCCUGAUCUAGAUGAAUACCUAGGAUGAUCGAUGGUCUGUGGAUACCAGGCACUGUGCUGAGGGCUGUUCCUGCAUCAGCUCAGCCUUGGGGACAGGGGGUCCACUUUCAAAUCCGUCCAGCCCCUGAGG
RNAcentral lists this long non-coding RNA (502 nucleotides) under Homo sapiens (human). Its description in RNAcentral is "HSALNT0279691". The record is from RNAcentral. Lineage: Eukaryota; Metazoa; Chordata; Mammalia; Primates; Hominidae.